AACCCAUGGUGAGGACACCUUCUCAAUAGAUCCUUGUAUCUCUCCCAUACAUCAUCAAGUGUUUCUAAAUCCAUCUACACAAAAGAAGAGAUAUAAUUCCUUAAUUU
RNAcentral lists this small nucleolar RNA (107 nucleotides) under Gossypium hirsutum (cotton). RNAcentral describes it as "Plant small nucleolar RNA R71". It matches the Rfam family "Plant small nucleolar RNA R71". Rfam says of the family: R71 is a member of the C/D box family of snoRNAs containing the C (UGAUGA) and D (CUGA) box motifs. Lineage: Eukaryota; Viridiplantae; Streptophyta; Magnoliopsida; Malvales; Malvaceae. The record is from Rfam by way of RNAcentral.